UCAGUCGACUCCUACGGGGAGGCAGCAGUGGGGGAAUAUUGCACAAUGGGCGCAAGCCUGAUGCAGCCAUGCCGCGUGUAUGAAGAAGGCCUUCGGGUUGUAAAGUACUUUCAGCAGUGAGGAAGGCGGGUGUGUUAAUAGCACAUUCGUUUGACGUUAGCUGCAGAAGAAGCACCGGCUAACUCCGUGCCAGCAGCCGCGGUAAUACGGAGGGUGCGAGCGUUAAUCGGAAUUACUGGGCGUAAAGCGCAUGCAGGUGGUUUGUUAAGUCAGAUGUGAAAGACCCGGGGCUCAACCUCGGAAUUGCAUUUGAAACUGGCAGACUAGAGUACUGUAGAGGGGGGUAGGAAUUUCAGGUGUAGCGGUGAAAUGCGUAGAGAUCUGAAGGAAUACCGGUGGCGAAGGCGGCCCCCUGGACAGAUACUGACACUCAGAUGCGAAAGCGUGGGGAGCAAACAGGAUUAGAUACCCUGGUAG
RNAcentral lists this ribosomal RNA (477 nucleotides) under uncultured bacterium. RNAcentral's name for it is "bacterial SSU rRNA". It matches the Rfam family "Bacterial small subunit ribosomal RNA", at positions 328 to 793 of the family's 1533-position model. The record is from RNAcentral.